This 497-nucleotide ribosomal RNA is filed under the name uncultured bacterium. Its description in RNAcentral is "partial 16S ribosomal RNA". It matches the Rfam family "Bacterial small subunit ribosomal RNA", at positions 28 to 507 of the family's 1533-position model. The record is from RNAcentral.
GAUGAACGCUGGCGGCGUGCCUAAUACAUGCAAGUCGAGCGAACAGACGAGGAGCUUGCUCCUCUGACGUUAGCGGCGGACGGGUGAGUAACACGUGGAUAACCUACCUAUAAGACUGGGAUAACUUCGGGAAACCGGAGCUAAUACCGGAUAAUAUAUUGAACCGCAUGGUUCAAUAGUGAAAGACGGUUUUGCUGUCACUUAUAGAUGGAUCCGCGCCGCAUUAGCUAGUUGGUAAGGUAACGGCUUACCAAGGCAACGAUGCGUAGCCGACCUGAGAGAGUGAUCGGCCACACUGGAACUGAGACCCGGUCCAUACUCCUACGGGAGGCAGCAGUAGGGAAUCUUCCGCAAUGGGCGGAAGCCUGACGGAGCAACGCCGCGUGAGUGGUGAAGGUCUUCGGAUCGUAAAACUCUGUUAUUAGGGAAGAACAAAUGUGUAAGUAACUAUGCACGUCUUGACGGUACCUAAUCAGAAAGCCACGGCUAACUACGUG